Molecule: ribosomal RNA, 496 nt
Filed under: uncultured bacterium
Lineage: Bacteria
Description: partial 16S ribosomal RNA
Rfam family: Bacterial small subunit ribosomal RNA
Source: RNAcentral
GAUGAACGCUGGCGGCGUGCCUAAUACAUGCAAGUCGAGCGAACAGACGAGGAGCUUGCUCCUCUGACGUUAGCGGCGGACGGGUGAGUAACACGUGGAUAACCUACCUAUAAGACUGGGAUAACUUCGGGAAACCGGAGCUAAUACCGGAUAAUAUAUUGAACCGCAUGGUUCAAUAGUGAAAGACGGUUUUGCUGUCACUUAUAGAUGGAUCCGCGCCGCAUUAGCUAGUUGGUAAGGUAACGGCUUACCAAGGCAACGAUGCGUAGCCGACCUGAGAGGGUGAUCGGCCAAACUGGAACUGAGACACGGUCCAGCCUCCUACGGGAGGCAGCAGUAGGAAAUCUUCCGAAAUGGGCGAAAGCCUGACGGGGAAACGCCGCGUGGGUGAUGAAGGUCUUCGGAUCGUAAACCUCUGUUAUUAGGGAAGAACAAAUGUGUAAGUAACUAUGCACGUCUUGACGGUACCAAACAAGAAAGCCACGGCUAACUACGU